AGCGAAAGCGAGUCUUAACUGGGCGAUUAGUUAGUUGACGUAGACCCGAAACCGGGCGACCUAUCCAUGGGCAGGUUGAAGCGAAAGUAAAAUUUCGUGGAGGACCGAACCCACGAGCGUUGAAAAGCUCGGGGAUGACCUGUGGAUAGCGGUGAAAUUCCAAUCGAGCCCGGAGAUAGCUGGUUCUCUCCGAAAUAGCUUUAGGGCUAGCCUCAAGAUUGAGAGUAACGGGGGUAGAGCACUGAAUGUCCUAGGGGGUAUUGCACUUACCGAAGACUAUCAAACUCCGAAUACCGUAUACUUAUGCUUGGGAGUCAGACUAUGGGUGAUAAGAUUCAUAGUCAAAAGGGCAACAGCCCAGAUCGUCAGCUAAGGUCCCUAAAUGUACGUUAAGUGGUAAAGGAUGUGGGAUUGCACAGACAACCAGGAUGUUGGCUUAGAAGCAGCCACUCAUUUAAAGAGUGCGUAAUAGCUCACUGGUCGAGUGAUCCUGCGCCGAAAAUUUCCGGGGCUAAAACGUACUACCGAAGCUACGGCAUCAGUAAUGAUGGGUAGGAGAGCUUCCCAUACGGGUUGAAGCAUGACCGAAAGGACAUGUGGACUGUAUGGGAGUGAGAAUGUUGGCAUGAGUAGCGAGAUGUGGGUGAGAAUCCCACAGGCCGUAAACCCAAGGUUUCCAGGGGAAGGUUCGUCCGCCCUGGGUUAGUCAGGACCUAAGCCGAGGCCGAAAGGCGUAGGUGAUGGACAACAGGUUGAUAUUCCUGUACCACCAAUAACCGUUUGAGAAAUGGGAUGACACAGAAGGAUAAGCUAGCCGCACUGUUGGUUAUGUGCGGGCAAGUAUUGAGGCAGUUCUGGUAGGCAAAUCCGCCAGAAUAAUGCUAGGGUACGAUGCGGAGCGAAAUUUAGUAGCGAAGUAGCUGAUUUCACACUGUCGAGAAAAGUCUCUAUCGAGGUUAAAGGUGCCUGUACCGCAAACCGACACAGGUGGGUGAGGAGAGUAUCCUAAGGCCAGCCAGAGAACUGUUGUUAAGGAACUCGGCAAAAUGACCCCGUAACUUAGGGAGAAGGGGUGCCUUCGAAAGAAGGCCGCAGAGAAUAGGCCCAAGCGACUGUUUACCAAAAACAUAGGUUUCUGCUAAGUCGCAAGACGAUGUAUAGGAGCUGACGCCUGCCCGGUGCUGGAAGGUUAAGGGGAUCUGUUAGGGUAACCGAAGCAGUGAACUUAAGCCCCAGUAAACGGCGGCCGUAACUAUAACGGUCCUAAGGUAGCGAAAUUCCUUGUCGGGUAAGUUCCGACCCGCACGAAAGGCGUAACGAUUUGGGCACUGUCUCAACAACAGACUGGGUGAAAUUGUAAUACCGGUGAAGAUGCCGGUUACCUGCGACAGGACGGAAAGACCCCAUGGAGCUUUACUGUAGCUUGACAUUGAGUCUCGGUGCUACAUGUACAGGAUAGGUGGGAGGCUAUGAAGCAUGGACGUCAGUUUGUGUGGAGCCAUCCUUGGGAUACCACCCUUGUAGUACUGGGAUUCUAACCAGCUGCCUUGAAUCAGGUAGUGGGACACUGUCAGGUGGACAGUUUGACUGGGGCGGUCGCCUCCUAAAGAGUAACGGAGGCGCUCAAAGGUUCUCUCAGUACGGUCGGAAAUCGUACGUAGAGUGUAAAGGCAGAAGAGAGCUUGAUUGCAAGACAUACAGGUCGAGCAAGGACGAAAGUCGGACUUAGUGAUCCGGUGGUACCGCAUGGAAGGGCCAUCGCUCAACGGAUAAAAGCUACCCUGGGGAUAACAGGCUGAUCUCCCCCAAGAGUCCACAUCGACGGGGAGGUUUGGCACCUCGAUGUCGGCUCAUCACAUCCUGGGGCUGUAGUAGGUCCCAAGGGUUGGGCUGUUCGCCCAUUAAAGUGGUACGCGAGCUGGGUUCAGAACGUCGUGAGACAGUUCGGUCCCUAUCCGUCGCAGGCGUAGGAAAUUUGAGGAGACCUGUCCUUAGUACGAGAGGACCGGGAUGGACGUACCGCUGGUGUACCAGUUGUUCUGCCAAGGGCAUAGCUGGGUAGCUAAGUACGGAAAGGAUAAGCGCUGAAAGCAUCUAAGCGCGAAGCCUACUUCGAGAUAAGAUUUCCCACCGCAAGGUUAAGACCCCAUGAAGACUACAUGGUUGA
RNAcentral lists this ribosomal RNA (2167 nucleotides) under human gut metagenome. RNAcentral's name for it is "bacterial LSU rRNA". It matches the Rfam family "Bacterial large subunit ribosomal RNA", at positions 670 to 2856 of the family's 2925-position model. The record is from RNAcentral.